Molecule: ribosomal RNA, 801 nt
Filed under: Triticum aestivum (bread wheat)
Lineage: Eukaryota; Viridiplantae; Streptophyta; Magnoliopsida; Poales; Poaceae
Description: partial small subunit ribosomal RNA
Source: RNAcentral
AUGGGGGCAAAAAUUGACCGCUCUGUAAAUGAUGGGGGGGGUCCAAAUUAUUUUAAAAUCAAUGGUCAGGUUUGCCAUCGUAUAGGCUCACUGCUUCCAAAUGAGGGUGAUUCUCCCAAAUAUGCAGAGUUAUACAUACAUGACAGAGAAAAUGAGGUUAACAAUAGAAUUCAGGCUUUAAACCAUGAAAAUGAAACUGGUGCAGGGUUAGACAAAGAGAUUGUGAAGGGUCUUAUGCAGAUGCUUGAUGUGAACAAUUCUUUGGUCAAGAAAUUUCGUAUGGCCAGUGAGAUUCUGAAAAAUAAUAGGCAUGAAGUGAUUUCAAUAAGACUUAUAGCUCCUGGUGAAAAUGAUAGUGCACAGUUUAAUUUACCUGCAACUGAUGAGCUAGCAGCCUUGGUUUAUGGUGAAUUUACGUUGGAGGCACCAUGUAGAGACCUGAUAAUACGUACUAAAGAAGACCGUCUUCGUCGUAUUUCCUCCUUAGAUACUACUUACAUGCCUUUGCAAUACCCUCUGUUAUUCCCCUAUGGUGAGCGUGGCUUUCAGCUCGGUGUGCGCUACAUUGAUUAAAAUACCGAUGAUCCAAACAAGAGGGUUAAAAUGACCAUGCAAGACUUCUAUUGCUUCUGCUCGCAUUAUAAACCGGAGCAGCAUAACCCAUAUCUAUGCUGUGGCCUGUUAUCCUCACAGGCUGCUGUUGAUUUUUGAGCUUGCAUUGAUGAAUGCCGGCUCAAUUUUAUUCUUAAGUGUAAUGAUGACAUGCGGGCUGAAAAUCUUCAGGUAUCGUCGAUGCGGUAG